Small nucleolar RNA from Molossus molossus (Pallas's mastiff bat), 134 nucleotides. RefSeq annotates it as small nucleolar RNA SNORA42/SNORA80 family. The record is from RefSeq and is a predicted model, not a curated record. The transcript has a single exon. Lineage: Eukaryota; Metazoa; Chordata; Mammalia; Chiroptera; Molossidae.
GCAUGGAAGGAUACACACAUAUAGUUAUGUAAAAUGAGGGAACUGUAGUGCCCCGUGCCAGAGCAAACUGUGGUCUUGAACUAUUGCCUGGCCUCUGCCUGUAGGCUGCAGGCACUGAAGCAGAUUGCACAGUG